Eubalaena glacialis (North Atlantic right whale) is the source of this 515-nucleotide long non-coding RNA. RefSeq lists it as uncharacterized. The transcript has 3 exons. Lineage: Eukaryota; Metazoa; Chordata; Mammalia; Artiodactyla; Balaenidae. The record is from RefSeq and is a predicted model, not a curated record.
GUGAAUGAGGUGGAUGAUGGUCUGCAGAGAGAGAGAGAGAUAAGAGUCUAACUCUGAAGGAGGUUUCAGUUUCCUGAUUCUAAGGCCCCUGUGAGAUGGAAUUUGGCGGCGGGAAAGUGUGGAACAUAGUAUUGAUGAGCACAGAUCUACACAGUUGGGGAAACCCAAGCCGUCUGACCGCUGAAGCAGAGCCUCUGUCCCUACACUGCCUCUCCUCCGCCUGAUGAAGGUUUGGGCUGAAAGAUGACUGAAAUGGAGGAAUGGAUUUUAAAAAUGAAUGAAUGGGGACUUCCCUGGUGGUCCAAUGGUUAAGAAUCCGUCUUCCAGUGCAGGGGAGGUGGGUUUGAUCCCUGGUCUGGGAACUAAGAUCCCACGGGCCACGGGGCAACUAAGCCCGCACUCCACAACUAGAGAGCCCGUGUGCUGCAACUAAUGAGCCCGUGCGCUCUGGAGCCCACGCGCCACAACUAGAGAGAAGCCCACACGCUGCAACAAAGAGCCUGCCUGCCGCAAAU